UAGGGAAUCUUCGGCAAUGGACGAAAGUCUGACCGAGCAACGCCGCGUGAGUGAAGAAGGUUUUCGGAUCGUAAAACUCUGUUGUUAGAGAAGAACAAGGACGUUAGUAACUGAACGUCCCCUGACGGUAUCUAACCAGAAAGCCACGGCUAACUACGUGCCAGCAGCCGCGGUAAUACGUAGGUGGCAAGCGUUGUCCGGAUGUAUUGGGCGUAAGCGAGCGCAGGCGGUUUCUUAAGUCUGAUGUGAAAGCCCCCGGCUCAACCGGGGAGGGUCAUUGGAAACUGGGAGACUUGAGUGCAGAAGAGGAGAGUGGAAUUCCAUGUGUAGCGGUGAAAUGCGUAGAUAUGUGGAGGAACACCAGUGGCGAAGGCGGCUCUCUGGUCUGUAACUGACGCUGAGGCUCGAAAGCGUGGGGAGCAAACAGG
Molecule: ribosomal RNA, 428 nt
Filed under: Gemmatimonadota bacterium
Lineage: Bacteria; Pseudomonadati; Gemmatimonadota
Description: Gemmatimonadetes bacterium partial 16S ribosomal RNA
Rfam family: Bacterial small subunit ribosomal RNA
Source: RNAcentral